ACAUAACGGAUGAUGGGUGAGCUCGUAUCUUGUGGAAUCGUUGCAGCGGUAUGUGCGUUGCGUGUGCGUGUUAUGUUUGAACGAAGAGUGUGUUAGAUCUUGUGCUAAAUCGAAUGGAAAGUUUCUCGAUCUUCUGUGCGACGCAACUUGUUUGGAUAUUUUUCUACCGAUCCUGUUUUAUUCGAAUAUCGUUACAUGACUAGUAUAAAUAUUCUAAGUGUACAUUAACAGUUGCAAUUAUUCGGACGACGUCGACAGUUGAUGGAUAUUGCUUGAAUAAUUGUAAUUUGAGACGCCGGAUUUCUAACGAAUAAUAAACACGAUGAAAACUGUUUCGUUGUUCUAGCGAGAAAUCGUAUGCGUGAACAGCAGCCAAAGGAUCUUUUAUUAACUUUUAUUAAUUGGUUUUGAAAGCGUAGUAAAGUAUAACAAGUGCUUUACACUGUCCGAAUAAUUAUGAUUUUCAUUUUUCAAAGAGUAUCCUUAACUAUUAAAGAUUAAAGAACACAAUUUUUCAUGUCAGUAAUGUUGAAACAUUCAUCGCUUUCCAAGAACAAGAAGCUAAUUACCCGUUUGUUCUACAUUUCAAGAAUUUGUUUGAUCGACCAACAAUUCCAGUAUAUUUUUACAAUGAAACUGUUUGAGGGUUUAAUAUGAUAAUAACGCUGAAACUUUCCAUUCAGUCAAAUAACGUUGUUUUUGAUUCCUAUCAGUCUGUUUGGGAAGAAGGUAUUGUUUGGUAUUGAAGGCCACGAUGUUAGGACGAUGGCCGAUUAAAAAUCUUGGCAACUUCCUGUGCGUGAAUCAUCGUUAGUCGCGAAUUUUCGAGCCUUUUUUGUAUCACUGUGCUUCUCUUCUCUGUCCCGCGAUUUAUUCGUGCGGGAACGAAAUUACGCUUGCAAUUAACAUGGCUUGUUAGAAGUAACAAACAGUGAUACAUCUUUCGUCACCAUCUGAACAUUUCAAUGCUUCUAAAUUCUGUUUUGUAUAUUUUUAGUAUUUUUGUUGGCAAUAUGUACAAGGUGUUUCAAGAAGGUCAUAAAAAUUUAAAUAUAAAUGCUACACGAGCUGGUAAAAUAAAAAGUAGGAAAAGUAGUAAAAUUCGCAUUGAAAUUUACAACUAUUUAUACGAUCUUCUAUCGACAAAUAAACUUCUCAUGUUUCGCGAGAAAAUUCACAAAAGUUGAGUUAACUGGUUAGUUUGGUUUCCAAGAGACUUAUACAUAUACGUCGAAAGAAGAGGAAAGGUUGGAUGGAGGCAAUCUGUGUCAAGAUGCAUCUAUACAUACUUGCCUUGAAUUAUACGAAGGAUACAUUGAACAUCUACUUUGUAUUCAUUUCCGUCAUACAAUAGUUAAUAUUUCUUUACUAGUACCUGUUUAUUCAACUUUGCUUUUCCCUUUGACACACAUAGACAUCUAAAAUACUUAAAUAUUUGCUGAACCUUUUUUAAAUGAUUUGUAUUUUGUAUACGUACAUUAUAUAUAGUUUAUGAACAUCGAAUAAGAUGUUCUAAGGGAAAGCGUAAUAUCUUGAACUUCGGAAAUGACUUUAGCGAGGAACGUAUUCAUAAAGGCUUGGAAAUUUAGAAGAAAAUUCUUUAAAUCAGUGGUUUUACAAGCAAUGGUAUGCACGUGUACCGUUAGUGGCACAUGGGUUCUUUUGUAUAUAGUAUACUUUAUCCGACAUCCUAGAUCAUAAAUUCUUAUUUGCAUACAAAGCAUACUUUUGUCAGUGGUAUUGAAAUUUCUGAAAUUUUCAUUUCAUUUGUGCACAAAAGAAUUGGAAGUCGCUGUUCUAUAGAUAUUUCUAUAAUUGUGUUCUUCUCUUGAAAUAAGAUAUAUUGCAUCUUAUUUUUUAAGUAAAAUACGCUUCCGUUAAAUUUCAGAAACAAUAUAGGAAUGGUAUGAAAGAAUUGUUACUCUUAUCAGACCUCAGUGAAACCUCAUUUUAUUGCGAUGGAAUUUAAACAAAAAUAAGAUUAGAAGAUAACAAGAUUUGUUUUCUUUGCUAGCGGGAUAUCGUUGCAUAUGUCUACCCUUUUAGAUGUACCUGAAGAUUUUACAGCUAUGAAACGCAGUGUAGCGAUGAAAGAUGUAACAGCUGCGAAUGUUUAACCUUGAAAUUAGGAUUUCUGCCGCGUUGGACUCGAUCAAGACGUUGCAGAAGGCGUCAGCGAAAUACUCUUAAGUGAAAUGGUCUAUUUGAAGCCAGACACACCCAAACGGAGAACGCGUGCUGAGGUCGCGUCAGCACGACCGCGGAACCAGCCAGGAAAGACGGUACAAGCGAAGCCAUCGUCGAUCACCGAGUAGCGGUCGCCAGCACGGGCAUCGUGAUCGCGAUCGUGAUCGUUUGGCGCA
Molecule: RNA transcript, 2363 nt
Organism: Bombus pyrosoma
Lineage: Eukaryota; Metazoa; Arthropoda; Insecta; Hymenoptera; Apidae
Exons: 2
Source: RefSeq, a predicted model, not a curated record